Molecule: ribosomal RNA, 253 nt
Filed under: uncultured bacterium
Lineage: Bacteria
Description: partial 16S ribosomal RNA
Rfam family: Bacterial small subunit ribosomal RNA
Source: RNAcentral
UACGGGGGGGGCAAGCGUUGUUCGGAAUUACUGGGCGUAAAGGGCUCGUAGGCGGCCAACUAAGUCAGACGUGAAAUCCCUCGGCUUAACCGGGGAACUGCAUCUGAUACUGGAUGGCUUGAGAUUGGGAGAGGGAUGCGGAAUUCCAGGUGUAGCGGUGAAAUGCGUAGAUAUCGGGAGGAACACCUGUGGCGAAGGCGACCCCCUGGUUGGAUACUGACGCUGAGACGCGAAAGCGUGGGGAGCAAACAGG